RNAcentral lists this ribosomal RNA (471 nucleotides) under uncultured Desulfobulbus sp. Its description in RNAcentral is "bacterial SSU rRNA". It matches the Rfam family "Bacterial small subunit ribosomal RNA", at positions 916 to 1382 of the family's 1533-position model. Lineage: Bacteria; Pseudomonadati; Thermodesulfobacteriota; Desulfobulbia; Desulfobulbales; Desulfobulbaceae. The record is from RNAcentral.
GGGGCCCGCACAAGCGGUGGAGUAUGUGGUUUAAUUCGAUGCAACGCGAAGAACCUUACCUGGUCUUGACAUCCCGGAGACCCUUAGGAAACUAGGGGUGCUUCCAUCUGGAAGAAUCUGGAGACAGGUGCUGCAUGGCUGUCGUCAGCUCGUGUCGUGAGAUGUUGGGUUAAGUCCCGCAACGAGCGCAACCCUUGCCUUUAGUUGCCAGCAGUUCGGCUGGGCACUCUAAAGGGACUGCCGGUGUUAAACCGGAGGAAGGUGGGGAUGACGUCAAGUCCUCAUGGCCUUUAUGACCAGGGCUACACACGUACUACAAUGGCCGAUACGAAGGGCAGCGACACUGCGAGGUGAAGCCAAUCCCGUAAAAUCGGUCUCAGUCCGGAUUGGAGUCUGCAACUCGACUCCAUGAAGUUGGAAUCGCUAGUAAUCGUGGAUCAGCAUGCCACGGUGAAUACGUUCCCGGGCCUU